This 1350-nucleotide ribosomal RNA is filed under the name Neuroperla schedingi. RNAcentral describes it as "16S ribosomal RNA". The stretch from base 901 to 1257 matches the Rfam family "Bacterial large subunit ribosomal RNA", at positions 2077 to 2643 of the family's 2925-position model. The record is from RNAcentral. Lineage: Eukaryota; Metazoa; Arthropoda; Insecta; Plecoptera; Eustheniidae.
UUAAUAUAAAGCUUACUGUUUAGUUUUUGUUUGGGUGUUGUUUAUUUAAUAAAAUCAUUUUUAUUUUGAAUUAGUUUAAGUAUAGGAUAUAGAAAUAAUUUUUAGUGUUGUAGUUUAAUUGUAUUGUGAAAGGUUGAUGAAAUAUUUUGAAAAUAUAUUUUUGUUAAAGUAGAUUUAAUUUAUUGUACCUUGUGUAUCAGGGUUUAUUAAAAAUGUUAUAUGUAUUUAUGAUUCCCGAUUUAAAGGGGGCUAAUUAAUUAUGAUAGUUAAUGUGGAAUAAUUAUUAUGGAUAAUUAAUUAGUAAUGAAACGUUAUUCGUUCUUUAAGAUAUCUGGUUUUUUAAGAGAUGAAUUUAAUUCAGGUUUAAAUAUUGGGGGAUUCAAUUGUGUUGAUGGGUACUAAUUUUAAACUAAUAUUUGUAGGGAUGAGCUUAUGAAUAUAAUUUAAAAAUUUAUUUUUAGGGAGAAGUUCUGUAGGCUUAGAAUUUGCCACCAGUAAAGGAUGUUAUAAUUUAACUUUUUUUAAAAUUAAUUUUUAUAUAAGAUUUAAAUAGUUUAUUAAAAUGUUGUACUUAAUCCUGAAGUACUAGAAAUAAUGAUAAAAUUAGUAUAUUGUUGAAACUGUAAGAUAUUUUGUGAUUGUGAGGUUGCAUAAAGGAAUUCGGCAAAUUAAUACUCGCCUGUUUAACAAAAACAUGUCCUCUUGUUUAAUGAUUUGAGGUCUGACCUGCCCACUGAGGAUUAACCUUGAAGGGCCGCGGUAUUUUGACCGUGCAAAGGUAGCAUAAUCAUUAGUCUUUUAAUUGAAGGCUAGAAUGAAUGGUUGGACGAGGUAUUGACUGUCUCUGUGUAAGUGAUAUUAGAAUUUAACUUUUGAGUGAAAAGGCUUAAAUGUAUUUGGAGGACGAGAAGACCCUAUAGAGCUUUAUAUUUUUUUAUUUAUAGUUGAUUUGGUUGUUUUCUUAUUAUAGGUAAAAAGGUAUUUUGUUGGGGUGACAGGAAGAUAAAAUUAACUCUUUUUAAUUAAGAACAUUUAUUUAUGGUUUAUUGAUCCAUUUUUAGUGAUUAAAAGACUAAGUUACCUUAGGGAUAACAGCGUAAUCUUUUUCGAGAGUUCUUAUCGACAAAAAGGGUUGCGACCUCGAUGUUGGAUUAAGGGUAAUUUUGGGUGUAGAUGUUCAAAGUUUAGGUCUGUUCGACCUUUAAAUCCUUACAUGAUCUGAGUUCAGACCGGUGUAAGCCAGGUCGGUUUCUAUCCUUAAAUUAUUUUAAUGUUUUAGUACGAAAGGACCAGGCAUUAGGAAUAUUUUCUUAAUAUUUUGAUUAAUAAUAAUUAUUUGAAUAAUAGUAU